CCUACGGGGGGCUGCAGUGGGGAAUAUUGGACAAUGGGCGAAAGCCUGAUCCAGCCAUGCCGCGUGUGUGAAGAAGGCCUUCGGGUUGUAAAGCACUUUCAGUGGGGAAGAAAGCCUUGGGGCUAAUACCCUCGAGGAAGGACAUCACCCACAGAAGAAGCACCGGCUAACUCCGUGCCAGCAGCCGCGGUAAUACGGAGGGUGCGAGCGUUAAUCGGAAUUACUGGGCGUAAAGCGCGCGUAGGCGGUCUGAUAAGCCGGUUGUGAAAGCCCCGGGCUCAACCUGGGAACGGCAUCCGGAACUGUCAGGCUAGAGUGCAGGAGAGGAAAGUAGAAUUCCCGGUGUAGCGGUGAAAUGCGUAGAGAUCGGGAGGAAUACCAGUGGCGAAGGCGGCCUUCUGGACUGUCACUGACGCUGAGGUGCGAAAGCGUGGGUAGCAAACAGGAUUAGAUACCCGUGUAGUC
RNAcentral lists this ribosomal RNA (465 nucleotides) under Vreelandella stevensii. Its description in RNAcentral is "partial 16S ribosomal RNA". It matches the Rfam family "Bacterial small subunit ribosomal RNA", at positions 338 to 795 of the family's 1533-position model. The record is from RNAcentral. Lineage: Bacteria; Pseudomonadati; Pseudomonadota; Gammaproteobacteria; Oceanospirillales; Halomonadaceae.